CAGGACAGGUACAGCACAGGCAGUGAGAAUGCAAGCUUUUCCCACAGCACCUCAUACAUGUGCCUCAACCUUGACAUAAAGGGACCCCUCUAGA
This is an unclassified non-coding RNA of Marmota marmota marmota (Alpine marmot), 94 nucleotides long. Lineage: Eukaryota; Metazoa; Chordata; Mammalia; Rodentia; Sciuridae. The record is from Ensembl.